This 867-nucleotide ribosomal RNA is filed under the name uncultured ANME-2 cluster archaeon. RNAcentral's name for it is "bacterial SSU rRNA". It matches the Rfam family "Archaeal small subunit ribosomal RNA", at positions 60 to 932 of the family's 1478-position model. Lineage: Archaea; Methanobacteriati; Methanobacteriota; Methanomicrobia; Methanosarcinales. The record is from RNAcentral.
GAGAGGGGUAAGCCCUCGGCAUACUGCUCAGUAACACGCGGAUAACCUGCCCUUGGGUCUGGGAUAACCCCGGGAAACUGGGACUAAUACCGGAUAGAUCAGAGAAACUGGAAUGUUCUCCGGUUCAAAACUCCGGUGCCCAAGGAUGGGUCUGCGGCCUAUCAGGUAGUAGUGGGUGUAACGUACCUACUAGCCAGCGACGGGUAAGGGUUGUGAGAGCAAGAUCCCUGAGAUGGAUUCUGAGACAUGAAUCCAGGCCCUACGGGGUGCAGCAGGCGCGAAAACUUUACACUGCGGGAAACCGCGAUAAGGGGACCCCGAGUGCCAGCACCUAGUGCUGGCUGUCCUACUGUCUAAAUAACAGUGGUUAGCAAGGGCCGGGCAAGACCGGCGCCAGCCGCCGCGGUAACACCGGCGGCCCGAGUGGUAACCGUUUUUAUUGGGUUUAAAGGGUCCGUAGCCGGCUUAUUAAGUCUCUUGGGAAAUCUGGCGGCUCAAUCGUCAGGCGUCCGAGAGAUACUGGUAGGCUUGGGACCGGGAGAGGUGGGAGGUACUCCAGGGGUAGGGGUGAAAUCUCGUAAUCCUUGGGGGACCACCGAUGGCGAAGGCAUCCCGCCAGAACGGGUCCGACGGUGAGGUACGAAAGCUGGGGGCACGAACCGGAUUAGAUACCCGGGUAGUCCCAGCUGUAAACGAUGCUCGCUAGGUGUCAGGUGCGGUGCGACCGCAUCUGGUGCCGCAGUGAAAACUUGAAGCGAGUCACCUGGGAAGUACGGUCGCAAGGCUGAAACUUAAAGGAAUUGGCGGGGGAGCACUACAACGGGUGGAGCCUGCGGUUCAAUUGGAUUCAACGCCGGGAUCUUUCUA